CUAUAGAAUAGGCAUAGAAUUCGUGAGUUUUCUGAAUGAUGACAUUCUAAAUUAUUUUAUUAUUUGAAUAAGCUAAAUUCCAAUAUGGAUGUCUUGAGAAUGGUGUUUUGUAUAUACUGGACCUGUGCAUUUCUAAAUUUAUGUCCAAUGUAUGGAAUGCAAAAAAAAAUAUAAACCUUGCAAAGUUACCCACAAAUUUCUAAAGAUCCUAAGUAAAGCGGAUCAGGGCAAAUUAGUACCGAAAACAGCCAAUGAUACAGCCAACCAACAUUUGGAUAAAUGCCUUCAUCCUGGCUACAAACUAACUGAUACUCUAAAUUUUACCAUAUGCUCUGGUAGCUCAGAUGGCAUGUGUCACACAAUUGCUCCAAAAACUAGUGACGAAUAUGUUAUAUCACUUUAUUGCAAAAGGUGCUUCAGGCACUGCGAUUGUCCAGAACUAAACAAGGGAAAUGCUCUCAGAGAAGAGGCUAUAAUUGUAACACUAUGCCUGGCAGCGUAUUACUUUUUGAGAAACUAUAAUUUACUGGCGUAGUUACGGAUUAGACUUAGAGACAAUGUUAUUUUGAUAUAUUAUAUUUGUAAGAUUCUAAUUUUAAGUAAUUUU
Molecule: unclassified non-coding RNA, 607 nt
Filed under: Drosophila mojavensis
Lineage: Eukaryota; Metazoa; Arthropoda; Insecta; Diptera; Drosophilidae
Description: GI26323
Source: RNAcentral